RNAcentral lists this long non-coding RNA (1007 nucleotides) under Zostera marina. Its description in RNAcentral is "long non-coding RNA (ZMAR_LNC005952)". The stretch from base 51 to 165 matches the Rfam family "Small nucleolar RNA snoR111". Lineage: Eukaryota; Viridiplantae; Streptophyta; Magnoliopsida; Alismatales; Zosteraceae. The record is from RNAcentral.
CUUGCCAUAUCUAUCUGCGAUCCAUCUAAUCAAUGUCUGUUCGGUGUGAUGCCAGAGGCGGAGAAUAUACAAGUUUUUCUGCCCGAUAAUGAACAGGUCAUAUUUUGUCAAGAUAUCGUUUCAGUCGCUAUUUCUAUUGGCGAUUUGAUUGUUGCUUGACGAUAUUUUUAUCUUCUCGAUUUUUUUUUACUGAUCGGUUAUCGUAAUGUUUCGUCCACAGUUAUUUCUUCUUUAGGUUUUAGAUCACAUGGAUAUUAAUUUAAUGGGUCCCUUUUUGGAAUAAGUUGGUUGCAGAGAUCUUGUUGUCGUUUUGGACCCUUUGGAUUUUUAGAAGCUGAAAUAAUGUUUAUGAUCAUGGAUUUGAAUUGAUUGAUGAUAUACAGCAAGAAUUCAGAUCAAUUAUUUUGUUACAGUUUUGAAAUUUCCGACAAAUGUACACAGUAAAUAAUCCUAUUCUGGAUAGAUAAUCGCAGAUCGAUUGAUUUGGGACAUAAUGUCAUGACAUUAUAGACUUAAUAUUAUCAUUAUUAUAUGAUCUUAUCUUACUUUGGAAUUCUUCUCGUCAUCUCGGCGCCGCGGUUUAAAAUAUUCGGCGGAGAAUUUUUGGUCCAAGUCAGUGGUGUUGGUAAAUUCCUCAGACUCGAUACAUCGAACACUUCGAUGAAUCUUUGAUCAGAAAUUCUCGCUUUUGCUCCGGCAAAUCUUUGGUAUUCAUCGAAUAUGGACGUUAAACACCAGCUCUGUAGCUUUCUUAAACAACCCACAACGCAUCCUGUUCGAUGCUGUUUAUAUAAUAUUCAGAUCAUCAGAUUUCAAAAUUGGUAGUUUAUUUUUUUUAAUAUUUUGUUGACUGGUGUUUCUUUAUUUUUUUUUACCUUGCCUCUUUUGCAGUGGAUCAGAAUUGGGUGAUUCCUUACAUCUGCAACAGUCAGUCGGAAGGAAAAAUAUUUUAGAUCCAUGGAAAUUAAGAUUUUUUUCUAUGAAAUUAUGGGUUAUGUUUAUACCAA